GGCCCCUAAUCGGGGUUCGGGACAGUGCCUGGUGGGUAGUUUGACUGGGGCGGUCUCCUCCCAAAGAGUAACGGAGGAGCACGAAGGUUGGCUAAGUACGGUUGGACAUCGUACGGUUAGUGCAAUGGCAUAAGCCAGCUUAACUGCGAGACAUACACGUCGAGCAGGUACGAAAGUAGGUCAUAGUGAUCCGGUGGUUCUGUAUGGAAGGGCCAUCGCUCAACGGAUAAAAGGUACUCCGGGGAUAACAGGCUGAUACCGCCCAAGAGUUCAUAUCGACGGCGGUGUUUGGCACCUCGAUGUCGGCUCAUCACAUCCUGGGGCUGAAGUCGGUCCCAAGGGUAUGGCUGUUCGCCAUUUAAAGUGGUACGCGAGCUGGGUUCAGAACGUCGUGAGACAGUUCGGUCCCUAUCUGCCGUGGGCGUUGGAUGAUUGAAGGAAGCUGCUCCUAGUACGAGAGGACCGGAGUGGACGAACCGCUGGUGUUCGGGUUGUUAUGCCAAUAGCAUUGCCCGGUAGCUACGUUCGGAAUCGAUAACCGCUGAAAGCAUCUAAGCGGGAAGCGAGUCCUAAGAUGAGUCAUCCCUAGGAAUUUAAUUCCUCUAAAGAGCCGUUCGAGACUAGGACGUUGAUAGGCAGGGUGUGUAAGCGUUGUGAGGCGUUGAGCUAACCUGUACUAAUGACUCGUGAGGCUUAACCAU
This is a ribosomal RNA of Shewanella sp. P1-14-1, 701 nucleotides long. It matches the Rfam family "Bacterial large subunit ribosomal RNA", at positions 2230 to 2925 of the family's 2925-position model. Lineage: Bacteria; Pseudomonadati; Pseudomonadota; Gammaproteobacteria; Alteromonadales; Shewanellaceae. The record is from Rfam.